GACGUAGGGGGCGAGCGUUGUCCGGAUUUAUUGGGCGUAAAGCGCGCGCAGGCGGUUCGGCAAGUCGGAUGUGAAAAUCCGGGGCUCAACCCCGGACCUGCAUCCGAUACUCUCGGACUGGAGGCAGGUAGGGGAGAGCGGAACUGAUGGUGGAGCGGUGAAAUGCGUUGAUAUCAUCAGGAACACCGGUGGCGAAGGCGGCUUUCUGGGUCUUACCUGACGCUGAGGAACGAAAGCUAGGGGAGCGAACGGG
Molecule: ribosomal RNA, 253 nt
Filed under: uncultured bacterium
Lineage: Bacteria
Description: partial 16S ribosomal RNA
Rfam family: Bacterial small subunit ribosomal RNA
Source: RNAcentral